RNAcentral lists this long non-coding RNA (1283 nucleotides) under Bos indicus x Bos taurus (hybrid cattle). Its description in RNAcentral is "lncRNA (ENSBIXG00000006860.1)". The record is from RNAcentral. Lineage: Eukaryota; Metazoa; Chordata; Mammalia; Artiodactyla; Bovidae.
UUAACAUAAACCGCAUCGUAUAUCUGACCAGUGACUCGUUGUUCUGUGGUGUUUGAUGUUUUUCAGAAGCCCUUCUGUUGAGGUGGACACCAAGAGUGAGAAUACUUCAUCAUCCGAGGGAGCCAACGGUACCCUGCUGAUCCACAGCCCCGCAGAACUCAAAAGCGGCUGGAGGAAGCAGAAGGGGUACCUCUCCUCAUUUAGUGAUUCGUUGCUUGCGUCUAAUACCACGUAUCAAAAGAACUUUAAGAUAAAAGAUAAAACACCACUGAGAACCAUGUGAACUGCCAACCAUAUACACAAGGCUGGUGAAGCCGGCGUCGUUGCCAGAAAGUCCUUUGUCCUGGGCUGACCCCCGGUGAGCUUUGUGGCCCCCUUCAGGUGAGACCUACAGCUUGGUGUCCUGGAUCUACGUGGGUUCAAAACGAGGACAUUUUCAUCUGCUUGCAUAUUAAGCCAGUGACUCACUUCUUGACUGACCAUAAUGACACACAUGGGCUUCCCUGGUGGCUCAGUGGUCAAGAAUCUGCCUGUAAUGUAGGAGACUUGCGGAAGAUGCCCACUCAACCCCUGGGUCAGGAAGAUCCCCUGGAGGUGGAAAUGGCAACCCACUCCAGUAUUCUGCCUAGGAAAUCCCAUGGACAGAGGAGCCUGGCGGGCUACAGUCCAUGCGGUUACAGAAAGAGUCGGACACGACUGCGUGGCAUAAACAACAGCAAAUGACACACAUGCCUUGUGCUUUUCCCUCCUAAAAAGGUUCUCAUGUGCAAAUGCAUGCAUGUGGAUAGUAACAGUGGAAAUGACCGCAGUGAUUUCCUUUGGUUUUGAUCAGUGGUUUUUCAGAUGGGCUAUGUGAGCUACUUGGGAAGCCAGAUCCUCUUGUGUUCAUGGUAUCCUUGUAUGAGGAAGGAGGAUCAUGAGAGCAAGACUCUAGGACCCCUCACCAAUAUCCUGCCCUCAAUCCCGAUUAUCUUUCUUGAAAAAGUACAAUUAUAUUUGAAAAACUGACUUUAUACUCCCAAAUUAAUUCCCUUUAAAAUGGGAUUUAAUUAUACACAUAACAUUAAUUGUGUCAUCAAAUACUAGGUUGCCUGAAUUGCUGUGUACAAAUAAUCUUAUUUGGUGUGUGUAGAAGGGUGACAGUAAAACACAGCUACGAUUCCAUGGAGCACAGGUCAGUUUUCCAAUUACAUUCUUAGACUGGAGUGAGGACGGGGAAUGUGAAUAUCCCAAGUUGACAGUCCCGGGUUCACCAGCGUCAUGAAACAUUCACCGCUGCCACU